GUCACUGAUUGGGAUGGGAUGAUGUGUUCAGCUAAGAAAUCUGAAUUGGGCUGGGAGCCUUUGACGUGUGUGAUCACUACUGUGUCAUCAAAAUCCCAUUAAAUUUGCUGGCACAACUGCCCCUCUUCCCUCUUGCAGUCAGUCCUUCCAAAUUAAUUCCCCACCACAUGCUUUCCUAUCCUAAUCUCUCUCUCUGUACACACACAAGAAGCACACUUUUUUUAAUGGCAUUUAAUAUGUAAAGCCACAAAAGCUUGUGAAUUAUUGAAUGGUCAGGAAAACUUUGCCUUGAUCCUAGAAGCUGCAAAGUGAUAGAAUCAUAGAAUAGCUCAGAAUCAAUAACUUCAGUUGUUGUUGUUGUUUUUGUUAA
RNAcentral lists this long non-coding RNA (370 nucleotides) under Elaeis guineensis (African oil palm). RNAcentral describes it as "long non-coding RNA (EGUI_LNC021010)". The record is from RNAcentral. Lineage: Eukaryota; Viridiplantae; Streptophyta; Magnoliopsida; Arecales; Arecaceae.